CCACCCUUGGGGCUGCUUACAGAUUGCAGUGCUCGAAUCUUGGUUUUGAGCUCGUCAUUUGAAGGGUUCUGGGGAGCACGGAUCACACAGUGGCAGAGCCAGGAGCAACACCCCCACACUCUGAUUCUGCAGCCGCAACUCCGAACACCAGACCUGUUGUGUUGCCUGUGAGACACCCGCUGCAGAAGGCCUUGUAUAAUUCAGAAACUUGCCUAAUUUAAGACAAUCCCUGACAUGCCGCUCAGGUCCAAAGACCCGAGGACCAGAGGAGCUGAUGUCUGAAAGCUGCCAGGCUCAAGACCCCAGAGAAGCCCAUAUUUUGAGUCCGAAGUCCCGGAAAGACCUAUCUCCCAGCCCAGUCAGUCAGGUAAACUCCUCGGAUUUCUCUGUUGGACUCUGCCCAUCUCUUGGGAUGGUCUUCCAGUCUGGCAUCUCCACUCCCAACCUGGAUCCACUGCCUCCUCUCAGACUCCUGA
Long non-coding RNA from Lontra canadensis (Northern American river otter), 476 nucleotides. RefSeq lists it as uncharacterized. The transcript is spliced from 4 exons. NCBI's taxonomy places the organism in Eukaryota, Metazoa, Chordata, Mammalia, Carnivora, Mustelidae. The record is from RefSeq and is a predicted model, not a curated record.